UACAUGGGGUGCAAACGUUGCUCGGAAUUAUUGGGCGUAAAGCGCGCGUAGGCGGUUAUUCAAGUCGGGAUGUGAAAGCCCUCGGCUUAACUGAGGAAGUGCACCCGAAACUGAGUAGCUAGAGUACCAAAGAGGGUCGCGGAAUUCCCGGUGUAGAGGUGAAAUUCGUAGAUGAUCGGGAGGAACACCGGUGGCGAAGGCGGCGACCUGGGUGGAUACUGACGCUGAGGCGCGAAAGCGUGGGGAGCAAACAGG
RNAcentral lists this ribosomal RNA (255 nucleotides) under uncultured bacterium. RNAcentral describes it as "partial 16S ribosomal RNA". It matches the Rfam family "Bacterial small subunit ribosomal RNA", at positions 524 to 776 of the family's 1533-position model. The record is from RNAcentral.